This 536-nucleotide ribosomal RNA is filed under the name uncultured bacterium. Its description in RNAcentral is "bacterial SSU rRNA". It matches the Rfam family "Bacterial small subunit ribosomal RNA", at positions 791 to 1329 of the family's 1533-position model. The record is from RNAcentral.
UAGUCCACGCCGUAAACGAUGAGGGUUAGGCUUUGGAGACUUAUCAUUCAGAGUCGUAGUUAACACGUUAAACCCUCCGCCUGGGGAGUACGGUCGCAAGACUAAAACUCAAAGGAAUUGACGGGGACCCGCACAAGCGGUGGAGCAUGUGGUUUAAUUCGAAGGUACGCGAAAAACCUUACCGGCUCUUGACUGUUAGAUUUUAUCCCUAAGAAACUAGGGAGUCAGUUCGGCUGGGUCUAACACAGGCGCUGCAUGGCCGUCGUCAGCUCGUGUCGUGAGAUGUUGGGUUAAGUCCCGCAACGAGCGCAACCCUCGCCCUUAGUUGCUAACAGGUAAUGCUGAGUUCUUUAAGGGGACUAGCGGUGAAAACCGCAGGAGUGGGGAUGACUCCAGGUCCUCAUGGCCCUUACGGGCCGGGCUACACAUGUGCUACAAUGGUGACUACAAAAAGUUGCAAAAUCGUAAGAUGGAGCGAAUCUCUAAAAGUCAUCUCAGUUCGGAUCGACCUCUGCAACUCGAGGUCGUGAAGUUGG